GAGUGAGUUUCUUUUGCCAGUCUGUCGUCUCGUCAUAGCGGGGCGGAUGAAGGCCGGGAUGCUCCGCCGUGACAACAUUGGCAGGCCGGCUCUCGACUGUUUGGAAAUCAGAAAGAUGCGAGCGACCAGACGAGACAUGCUUGCGGCGUCGGGUGCAACAGGUGCAUGUCUUUGGAGGUGGGAGGAAGCCGGAGUACCCGGAGGGAACCCACGCAGUCACGGGGAGAACACGCAAACUCCACACAGAAAGAUCCCGAUUGAACCCAGGACUACUCAG
Molecule: long non-coding RNA, 277 nt
Organism: Entelurus aequoreus (snake pipefish)
Lineage: Eukaryota; Metazoa; Chordata; Actinopteri; Syngnathiformes; Syngnathidae
Exons: 3
Source: RefSeq, a predicted model, not a curated record